Sphaeramia orbicularis (orbiculate cardinalfish) is the source of this 161-nucleotide long non-coding RNA. RefSeq lists it as uncharacterized. The record is from RefSeq and is a predicted model, not a curated record. The transcript has 2 exons. Lineage: Eukaryota; Metazoa; Chordata; Actinopteri; Kurtiformes; Apogonidae.
CUGAGGAUCACACUGAACUUCCUGAGGAGGCUGAAGCAGGAGGAGCUGGCUGAGCGUCUGCACCGCAGAAGUCGGUCUGGAGUUCAGCAGCGGAAAUUGAAACGUAACCUGCAGCAGAAGUUUGAGUGUGUGUUUGAGGGCAUUGCUAAAGCAGGAAACCC